RNAcentral lists this long non-coding RNA (1259 nucleotides) under Homo sapiens (human). Its description in RNAcentral is "HSALNT0049758". Lineage: Eukaryota; Metazoa; Chordata; Mammalia; Primates; Hominidae. The record is from RNAcentral.
UCUAUUUUAACCACUACUAGAGAUUUUUCAAGCUUUUCAAAAGCUUCCAGUUCUGGUUGUUGGUCCCAAAAACUGGAUCCUGUGGGACAACACGGUCUUCAGCUGAUCUAGCCCUGCCUCCAACCAGCGACAGUCCCUGGCACCUGCGUCUCUGCUGCUAACCCUCCUGAUGAGUGCGCCAGGAGUAUUCCGACCAGUGACAGUCCCUGGUGCCGGCAUCUCUGCCACUAACCCUCCUGAUGGGUGCACCAGGCAUAUGGCCUCCGACCAGUGAUAGUCCCUGGCACCGGUGUCUCUGCCACUAACCUUCCUGAUGGAUGCACCAGGCGUACGGCCCUCGGGCCUCUCGCGUUCAGCCCAAGCUCAUUGAGUGGAAAUCCCCGGGUUACCAGCCCUCCCACUACCCUGUACCCAAUGCCACUCCGGGUGCCACGCGCCAGAGUCAAUUUCCGCCCAACACCACGACUGUGUGUGGCUCUGGCAUUUCCAACCACUAGGAGGGCAGGAGGGCUGGCCAGCAGGCGAGGUCUCUGUGUGUGAUUUUGAAAUGCCUUUUCCCACAAUGGCAAUUAAAGUGCAAUGCCUAAUUCUGGACAGCUUCAGAACGAGCUUUAGAAAUGGAUGAGCUUUAGAAAUGGUCACGUAGCAAGAAAAUCUCCUUCCAGAAAACCUGCAGGCAUGGAGGGAGACUGAGGUGGGGCUAGGGCUGGGGCUGAGGGCUGGGUCUUCCUGAGGCACUGUGGGGGCAGAAAGCAGGAGGCUGGCUGGUGACUGACCCUUCCAGGGAGAGGAAGCCAGCUCAUCCAUGAAGAGAUGAUUUCUUAGGGCAGCUGGUGCUGGUGAGGACACCAGGCGGGAAGCCCAGCCAGCAGUCACUCUGUGAAGCGGCUUAGCGGACUCUGCCUAGCCUGGUGCCCAGCACCUCUGACCCCGCAAAAACACGCACCCAUGUGCCCCUGGUGGCAGAGACAAACACAGCUACAGCAGCGCUCUUGAAACCACACGAUUGUCCAGCCACGGUGGCCUGGGCAUGGAGACCACAGGCGCUCACAACGGAAGGCCACCUGAGGACGAGAAGUGGGCAGCAACGCAGGUGGUGCUCAGGAUCGAGAGACCGAGGUCAGCGCCAGGGAGAGUGCCAGGCCCGGCGGCCCAGUCCAUGGGUCAGGGUCGAAGGCAGGGCACCUGUCCUGUGGCAGGGGAGCUUUGGGCAGGGGGACUUCAGGGUGCAGGACAAUGUGGAGAGGACGUGAGGGGUC